RNAcentral lists this ribosomal RNA (471 nucleotides) under uncultured bacterium. RNAcentral's name for it is "bacterial SSU rRNA". It matches the Rfam family "Bacterial small subunit ribosomal RNA", at positions 29 to 507 of the family's 1533-position model. The record is from RNAcentral.
AACGAACGCUGGCGGCGUGCCUAACACAUGCAAGUCGAACGAGAAAGUUUCCUUCGGGAAAUGAGUAAAGUGGCGCAAGGGUGAGUAACACGUGAAUAAUCUGCCUUCGAAAUCGGGAUAACUUGACGAAAGUUAAGCUAAUACCGGAUAAGACCACGCUUCAUAAGAGGUGCGGUAAAAGGGGUCUUAAACCCCGUUUGAAGAUGAGUUCGCGUACCAUUAGCUUGUUGGUGAGAUAACAGCUCACCAAGGCUACGAUGGUUAGCCGGCCUGAGAGGGUGAUCGGCCACACUGGAACUGAGACACGGUCCAGACUCCUACGGGAGGCAGCAGUGGGGAAUUUUGCGCAAUGGGCGAAAGCCUGACGCAGCAACGCCGCGUGAGCGAUGAAGGCCUUCGGGUCGUAAAGCUCUGUCAAGUGGGAAGAACACAAUGACGGUACCACUAGAGGAAGCCCCGGCUAACUUCGUG